RNAcentral lists this ribosomal RNA (813 nucleotides) under uncultured bacterium. Its description in RNAcentral is "bacterial SSU rRNA". It matches the Rfam family "Bacterial small subunit ribosomal RNA", at positions 76 to 905 of the family's 1533-position model. The record is from RNAcentral.
GGAGCAAUCCCAAGUAGAGUGGCGGAAGGGCGAGUUAAUGCAUUCCUAACGUGCCCCAAGGUCAGGGAUAGCUCACCGAAAGGUGUGGUAAUACCUGAUAAACCUGUGAGACCGCAUGGUCUUAUCGGCAAAGGCUUGCUGCCUUGGGAGCGGGGAAUGUCCUAUCAGCUAGUUGGUGAGGUAAUGGCUCACCAAGGCUAAGACGGGUAGCCGGUGUGAGAGCACGGCCGGCCGCAUCGGGACUGAGACACUGCCCGGACUCCUACGGGAGGCUGCAGUAACGAAUAUUCCACAAUGGGCGAAAGCCUGAUGGAGCAAUGCCGCGUGCAGGAUGAAGCCCCUCGGGGUGUAAACUGCUGUCAGGGUUCAGGAAAUCAAUGACCAGACCCAAAGGAAGAGGCGGCUAACUCUGUGCCAGCAGCCGCGGUAAUACAGAGGCCUCGAGCGUUGCGCGGAAUCACUGGGCUUAAAGGGUGCGUAGGUGGAUGUGCAAGUGCCUUGUGAAAUCCCCGGGCUCAACCCGGGAACUGCUUGGUAGACUGCACGUCUUGAGGUCGGUAGGGGUCGCUGGAACAGUUGGUGGAGCGGUGAAAUGCGUAGAUAUCAACUGGAACGCCAAAGGCGAAGGCAAGCGACUGGGCCGAUUCUGACACUGAGGCACGAAAGCGUGGGGAGCAAACGGGAUUAGAUACCCCGGUAGUCCACGCCCUAAACGAUGUACACUAGAUCGUGGAGGCUCUGACGCCCUCAUGGUCGAAGCAAAAGUAUUUAGUGUACCGCCUGGGGAGUACGGUCGCAAGAUUAAAACUCAAA